Molecule: transfer RNA, 71 nt
Filed under: Brevibora dorsiocellata (eyespot rasbora)
Lineage: Eukaryota; Metazoa; Chordata; Actinopteri; Cypriniformes; Danionidae
Description: tRNA-Gly
Rfam family: tRNA
About the family: Transfer RNA (tRNA) molecules are approximately 80 nucleotides in length. Their secondary structure includes four short double-helical elements and three loops (D, anti-codon, and T loops). Further hydrogen bonds mediate the characteristic L-shaped molecular structure. tRNAs have two regions of fundamental functional importance: the anti-codon, which is responsible for specific mRNA codon recognition, and the 3' end, to which the tRNAs corresponding amino acid is attached (by aminoacyl-tRNA synthetases). tRNAs cope with the degeneracy of the genetic code in two manners: having more than one tRNA (with a specific anti-codon) for a particular amino acid; and 'wobble' base-pairing, i.e. permitting non-standard base-pairing at the 3rd anti-codon position.
Source: RNAcentral
GUCUUUUUAGUAUAAACUUAAUACAAGAAACUUCCAAUUUUUUAACCCUGGUUAAACUCCAGGAAAAGAUA